Molecule: ribosomal RNA, 345 nt
Filed under: uncultured soil bacterium
Lineage: Bacteria
Description: bacterial SSU rRNA
Rfam family: Bacterial small subunit ribosomal RNA
Source: RNAcentral
AGAUUGAACGCUGGCGGCAUGCCUUACACAUGCAAGUCGAACGGCAGCACGGGAGCAAUCCUGGUGGCGAGUGGCGAACGGGUGAGUAAUACAUCGGAACGUGCCCAAUCGUGGGGGAUAACGCAGCGAAAGCUGUGCUAAUACCGCAUAAGAUCUACGGAUGAAAGCAGGGGAUCGCAAGACCUUGCGCGAAUGGAGCGGCCGAUGGCAGAUUAGGUAGUUGGUGAGGUAAAGGCUCACCAAGCCUUCGAUCUGUAGCUGGUCUGAGAGGACGACCAGCCACACUGGGACUGAGGCACGGCCCAGACUCCUACGGGAGGCAGCAGUGGGGAAUUUUGGACAAGU